This 477-nucleotide ribosomal RNA is filed under the name uncultured bacterium. Its description in RNAcentral is "bacterial SSU rRNA". It matches the Rfam family "Bacterial small subunit ribosomal RNA", at positions 30 to 524 of the family's 1533-position model. The record is from RNAcentral.
AUUGAACGCUGGCGGCAUGCCUUACACAUGCAAGUCGAACGGCAGCACGGGGCAACCUGGUGGCGAGUGGCGAACGGGUGAGUAAUGCAUCGGAACGUGCCAUUGAGUGGGGGAUAACGUAGCGAAAGUUGCGCUAAUACCGCAUAUUCUGUGAGCAGGAAAGCAGGGGACCGCAAGGCCUUGCGCUCUUUGAGCGGCCGAUGUCAGAUUAGCUAGUUGGUGAGGUAACGGCUUACCAAGGCGACGAUCUGUAGCGGGUCUGAGAGAAUGAUCCGCCACACUGGAACUGAGACACGGUCCAGACUCCUACGGGAGGCAGCGGUGAGGAAUAUUGGGCAAUGGGCGAAAGCCUGACCCAGCAACGCCGCGUGAGGGAUGAAGGCCUUCGGGUUGUAAACCGUCUUUUCUGGGAGAAGAGACGAGGACGGUAUCCCAGGAAUAAGUCUCGGCUAACUACGUGCCAGCAGCCGCGGUAAU